Long non-coding RNA from Ctenopharyngodon idella (grass carp), 462 nucleotides. RefSeq lists it as uncharacterized. The record is from RefSeq and is a predicted model, not a curated record. Lineage: Eukaryota; Metazoa; Chordata; Actinopteri; Cypriniformes; Xenocyprididae. The transcript has 4 exons.
GUCUCCAUGUUGAACUCAGACCUUUACUGCAGAUGAGAUCGUUCCUUUCUGUCAUGCCAAGACUCAUUCAACCAAGUGUGAGAUAAUCUGGAGUGGCAAAAAUCAGGAAGGUGCUGCACAACUGCAGGGGAGGAGGUCGAGAUGAUAAACAGUUACCUGUCUCGUUGUGCCCUCACAACCAAGAACAUGACAAAAUCUGACUUUCAAAAAGGCUGAGGCUGAGUCUCAGAGACUGGAGGAUUUGAGCAGUGAACUGGGGUGUCCUGAGAACAGGUGCAUCAUGGGUACAUGAUGUCAGACAAUGGGCUACUGAUGAUUCUGUAGGUACCAGAUGUGAUGACCAACAUAACCUUCAGAAAUCAACUGAACAACUGUUUCUUGGUGUUCAUCAAAAAAAGCCUUUAUAAUCAGACUGGUAUGUUGAUAACUCAUCUAAUAUUUUUGUCAUUUUUAUGUCUUAUC